GGAAAUUCAAAGUACUUUACAUCAUAAACAAGUAUGAGAAUAUUUAAAAAAUAAAAACAUCUUGAGUGUUCAAAACAUUCUUAGGUUUCUAAAUAUGAUUAUUUUGCUUUGUUUUACUUUUUUGACUCUUGAAUUUAUUAUUAUGAUCGUCUCUUUCACAGAAUAAUACUUUUUAAAAACUGCCAGGAUACAAGUACUCCGUUAUUUGGAAACAAAAAAAAAAGCUGAAGAAAUCACAGUAAGUUCUACUAUUAAUAGAAUCACCCAGAUAUUAAUUUGUUCAAUUAUUAAGAAAAGUAGAGUACUUCAUAGAAAUUUGAAUUAUAUCUCAAAUUAGAAGAUAUAAUUAUGGGUUCCUAAAGAGUUCCUAUGGAAUUAUAAAAAAUAAUGCCUGGUAUAUUGGUUAAUCUGUCAGCAAUUCUCAGGAAUCCCCACAUAAAAAUUCUUGUGGUGGUUCAUUUAAACUAGAUGUCAAUGUUUUAAGAUAUGUAGAAUUUAGCAGAAGGAAUUUCGUACAAGAUCAUAUCCUAUUUUGUUGUUUUCUUUUAUAAAUGCUAGCGGUUAUUUCCUUCAUUCCUUAGAUUUUAGAUACUUCAGUUCCAGAGGCUGAUAUAUAAUACAUUAUAUUAUUCACUAAAAUUUUCACUAGACUCAAAAUAGAGAGAUGCAGACAUUUUAAACUUAAAUAUUAUUAUGAAACAGACAGGUCCCCCUUUGCAUGCACUAGAUCAAAACAAUCAUUGUAUUAAGCUAUCUGAAUUUAUUCCAGACAUCAAAAAAAAAAAAAAGAAAAUAUAACACAUGGCAGGAAAGUUGUACAUUUUUCAUUCACAGGGAAGUUAAUGUCUCAUUUUUAUUAGAAGUCAAUAUUUCAGGGACUCAUACGUUGCAGAUAUAAUUCUGAAAAAAAAAGUGCGUUGUCAAAUCUUCACAAAAUGUAUGGGUAUUUAUUUCCAGUUUUCACAAAAGUAGUAAAGUUAUAUUGCUUACAUUCAAAAGCUAAUGUUUGAGCUAAGGCUGCCAUGCUGACA
Molecule: long non-coding RNA, 1031 nt
Filed under: Bos taurus (domestic cattle)
Lineage: Eukaryota; Metazoa; Chordata; Mammalia; Artiodactyla; Bovidae
Description: long non-coding RNA NONBTAT021775
Source: RNAcentral